GUCAUUUUGGCAGAUUAGUGCAUUAAAUUUAGAAUUUAAUUAAGUAUAAUUAUUAUACAUUUGAUA
This 66-nucleotide transfer RNA is filed under the name Olophrum piceum. Its description in RNAcentral is "tRNA-Leu". The record is from RNAcentral. Lineage: Eukaryota; Metazoa; Arthropoda; Insecta; Coleoptera; Staphylinidae.